RNAcentral lists this ribosomal RNA (121 nucleotides) under Hordeum patagonicum subsp. santacrucense. The record is from RNAcentral. Lineage: Eukaryota; Viridiplantae; Streptophyta; Magnoliopsida; Poales; Poaceae.
ACAUGCGUACGUGCGCGGAAUAUAUUAAGCACGGAUCCCAUCAGAACUCCGAAGUUAAGCGUGCUUGGGCAAGAGUAGUACUAGGAUGGGUGACCUCCUGGGAGACCUCGUAUUGCAUUCC